UCUGAAUCUGCGUACGGCUCCGCAAACCAGUUGUAAACUAUAGCAAGCAGGCUCGGGGUCGGCUCUCACGGGUUGGCUUCGGGCGAUAUGGAUAACCCUGGUAAUUCUGAGGCUAAUACAUGAACGUAAAACCUGGUUGACUGGGCUUCGGUCUGGGAGGCUGGGGGAUGUGUGAUUGCAGGCUUGGGUAACACCGGGAAAGGGCACACGUCCAGACCGCGCUAUAAAGGAUGGGACCCCUUCGGGGGACCCGCCCCAGCGGCUCUUGCUGUGUGCUUCUGACCUAUCAACUAGACGGCAGCGUAAGGGACAUG
RNAcentral lists this ribosomal RNA (314 nucleotides) under Lamproderma ovoideum. RNAcentral's name for it is "bacterial SSU rRNA". It matches the Rfam family "Eukaryotic small subunit ribosomal RNA", at positions 80 to 343 of the family's 1831-position model. The record is from RNAcentral. Lineage: Eukaryota; Evosea; Eumycetozoa; Stemonitida; Stemonitidae.